CUCCUCUAGAGUAACACACCACAGUUUUGUGCUGUGCCCACAGGAGCUCCCCGGGCAACAGGUGGGCCAUGUUCGCAAAUGCCAGACUCUACAACGCAGGUCGAUAAUAGAAGGGAAGUAAAAAUUGGUUUUCUUUCCUUUUUUGUAGAGGUUUUUAAUUCGUCCAGUGUGCGUCUGAACUCUGAUUCACAGGAAGCUCCUUCUAGUUAAAUGCAAACACAAGUUCUCGCUGCGGCAUCCUGUCAAGUGUCUGAUAAGAAUGGUUGCACUAUAUGCCUGCUCAGUCCAUGUCAUCCUAGCGUUUAUGACCAUAUUAACAGAGGUGGUUGCCCCUGAGGUGCAGUCGAAGUGCUCAGAGUCCAUGAGAAACAUCACAGCAGUCAGUGGAAGCACAGUCCAUCUUCCCUGCCUUGAAUGUCUUGAUUCUUUGGAGCAUUUUAAUACCUUGGCAGUUCAAUGGAAUAAGACUCGAAGUUUCUGUCAUUACCGUAUGACACAAAACAACACUUCUAACAUGUUAUGUAGAGACCGUGUUGAGUUGAAGGGACACCCUGCUGAAGUUUACUUAAGGGAUCUCCAGCUCACUGACUCUGGUGUCUACAGAUGUUCUGUAACAAAAGUCAUUCCUCCACCAACACUGGAAAUAUUCAGCCAUCAGCUGAAGCUUCAUGUCAUAGAUAUCAUCGUAGGAGACCUGAACAGCAGCAAUCAAAACUGUACUCUACAGCUCUGGUGCAUGGUCGUGGGGCUUCUCAACGUCACGGUGAACUUCACCUGGAGCAGAAAAACGAAUGAGGGAUGGGAGGUUCUUCAACACAGAGAGCACUCCACAAACCAGAACAGCACCUUGGAGCUGUGUGAUGGUGGCUGCAACAAUGCGGAUGUCUUCAACUGCAGCAUCAACACCUCUGGCAUCAGUGGGUUCAAGAUAUUUAUAUUACCAUCAAGGAAAGGACUGUGUGUCCAGGACCUGCUUAUGAUCAUCGGGCUCAGCCUGCUGCCCCUGGCCAUUAUCCUUGUCUUGCUGACCAUUGGUUGCAUUACAUAUCAAAAAAGAAGAAGACAGCGAGAUGAAGCCAUGAUGUACACUAACAAGGUGUACGAGAACUUCAACUUCACCACUCCCAUACCCACGCCGUCCUUGAGUGAGGACGAGAAACACGAACAUUGCAUUUAUGAGAACUAGAGGCUGCUGGAAAACAUCUGAACUGCAUAAAUUUAUUUUGCCUUUUCUACUAUAGCUACUAUUUUUCUUUCAGUUCCAUUAGGAACAGACUCUAUUAUAUAGAGUUAUUUCAAAAUAAUUAAACAAUAAAGUCUUGUGCUGUAUAAUAAAACA
Molecule: long non-coding RNA, 1339 nt
Filed under: Scleropages formosus (Asian bonytongue)
Lineage: Eukaryota; Metazoa; Chordata; Actinopteri; Osteoglossiformes; Osteoglossidae
Description: lncRNA (ENSSFOG00015028635.1)
Source: RNAcentral